ACUCCUACGGAGGGCAGGCAGCAGUAGGGAAUCUUCCGCAAUGGGCGAAAGCCUGACGGAGCAACGCCGCGUGAGUGAUGAAGGUCUUCGGAUCGUAAAACUCUGUUAUUAGGGAAGAACGAACGUGUAAGUAACUGUGCACGUCUUGACGGUACCUAAUCAGAAAGCCACGGCUAACUACGUGCCAGCAGCCGCGGUAAU
This 201-nucleotide ribosomal RNA is filed under the name uncultured bacterium. RNAcentral describes it as "partial 16S ribosomal RNA". It matches the Rfam family "Bacterial small subunit ribosomal RNA", at positions 335 to 524 of the family's 1533-position model. The record is from RNAcentral.